CCUUGGUUCAGUCCUGGUUUAGUCCUGGUUUAGUCCUGGUUCAGUCCUGGUUCAGUCCUGGUUUAGUCCUUGGUUCAGUCCUGGUUCAGUCCUGGUUCAGUCCUGGUUCAGUCCUGGUUCAGUCCUGGUUCAGUCCUUGGUUUAGUCCUUGGUUCAGUCCUGGUUUAGUCCUGGUUCAGUCCUUGGUUUAGUCCUGGUUUAGUCCUGGUUUAGUCCUGGUUCAGUCCUGGUUCAGUCCUUGGUUUAGUCCUGGUUCAUCCUUGGUUCAGUCCUGGUUUAGUCCUGGUUCAGUCCUUGGUUUAGUCCUGGUUUAGUCUUGGUUCAGUCCUGGUUUAGUCCUUGGUUCAGUCCUGGUUUAGUCCUUGGUUCAUCCUGGUUUAGUCCUGAUUCAGUCCUUGGUUUAGUCCUGGUUUAGUCCUGGUUCAGUCCUGGUUCAGUCCUGGUUUAGUCCUUGGUUUAGUCCUGGUUCAGUCCUGGUUUAGUCCUGGUUUAGUCCUGGUUUAGUCCUGGUUCAGUCCUGGUUUAGUCCUUGGUUUAGUCCUGGUUCAGUCCUGGUUUAGUCCUGGUUUAGUCCUGGUUCAGUCCUGGUUUAGUCCUGGUUCAGUCCUGGUUCAGUCCUGGUUCAGUCCUGGUUUAGUCCUUGGUUUAGUCCUGGUUCAGUCCUGGUUCAGUCCUGGUUUAGUCCUGGUUUAGUCCUGGUUCAGUCCUGGUUUAAUCCUGGUUCAGUCCUGGUUCAGUCCUGGUUUAGUCCUGCUUUAGUCCUGGUUUAGUCCUGGUUUAGUCCUGGUUUAGUCCUGGUUUAGUCCUGGUUUAGUCCUGGUUUAGUCCUGGUUUAGUCCUGGUUUAGUCCUGGUUUAAUCCUGGUUCAGUCCUGGUUCAGUCCUGGUUCAGUCCUGGUUUAGUCCUGGUUUAGUCC
This is a long non-coding RNA of Periophthalmus magnuspinnatus, 916 nucleotides long. RefSeq lists it as uncharacterized. The transcript has 3 exons. NCBI's taxonomy places the organism in Eukaryota, Metazoa, Chordata, Actinopteri, Gobiiformes, Gobiidae. The record is from RefSeq and is a predicted model, not a curated record.